Non-coding RNA from Pelobates cultripes (western spadefoot toad), 326 nucleotides. The record is from the annotation of a GenBank genome assembly. NCBI's taxonomy places the organism in Eukaryota, Metazoa, Chordata, Amphibia, Anura, Pelobatidae.
AAUUUUAGUAAUGACAGGAGGCGAAUAUUUGCAUAUCUUUCUUUACUGAAAACUCCAGCAGCAUAGAAACAUAACAACCAAUCAGAAAAAAGCUAUGGUGCCCAUAUAAGGCCCUGUCUAUGACAUCACUUCCUCUUUCUUUGAAGCAAAACAAUAAAUAACAACAAUAAACACAAUCAUAUUACGUCAACAGUUCAACAACAUAUUGGGAUAAACAAACUCCAGUAGUUCCAUGAUGCAGCGGUAUGAAAGGUGAGCUUUUGUCCUGAUGAGAAGACGUUCACGCUGCAAGAAAAAGGAAACAGGUGAAAGGACUCUGGCGUGAU